AUACGGAGGGAGCGAGCGUUAAUCGGAAUUACUGGGCGUAAAGCGCGCGUAGGCGGCUUUGUAAGUCGGAUGUGAAAGCCCUGGGCUUAACCCAGGAAUUGCAUUCGAUACUGCAGAACUAGAGUAUGGUAGAGGGAAGUGGAAUUUCCGGUGUAGCGGUGAAAUGCGUAGAUAUCGGAAGGAACACCAGUGGCGAAGGCGACUUCCUGGGCCAAUACUGACGCUGAGGUGCGAAAGCGUGGGGAGCAAACAGGAUUAGAAACCCCGGUAGUCC
Molecule: ribosomal RNA, 274 nt
Filed under: uncultured bacterium
Lineage: Bacteria
Description: partial 16S ribosomal RNA
Rfam family: Bacterial small subunit ribosomal RNA
Source: RNAcentral